This 253-nucleotide ribosomal RNA is filed under the name uncultured bacterium. Its description in RNAcentral is "partial 16S ribosomal RNA". It matches the Rfam family "Bacterial small subunit ribosomal RNA", at positions 524 to 776 of the family's 1533-position model. The record is from RNAcentral.
CACGUAGGAGGCGAGCGUUGUCCGGAAUCAUUGGGCGUAAAGAGCGUGUAGGCGGCCCGGUAAGUCCGCUGUGAAAGUCCAGGGCUCAACCCUGGGAUGCCGGUGGAUACUGUCGGGCUCGAGUCCGGAAGAGGAGUGUGGAAUUCCUGGUGUAGCGGUGAAAUGCGCAGAUAUCAGGAGGAACACCAAUGGCGAAGGCAGCACUCUGGGACGUGACUGACGCUGAGACGCGAAAGCGUGGGGAGCAAACAGG